UUUCCGUAGGUGAACCUGCGGAAGGAUCAUUAUUGAAUAUGUUUGAUAGGUUGUAGCUGGCUCUUCGGAGUAUGUGCACGCUUAUCUUGACUUAAUUCAUCCACCUGUGCACCUUUUGUAGUCUUGGGGGUUGAGAUCGGUCGACUAUCGGAUGGCCAAGGUCAUUCCGGAUGUGAGGAAUGCUGAGUGCGAAAGCAUACAGCUCUUCUCAAAUGACUUGUCUUCCUCGAGUACUAUGUAUUCAUAUACCACAUAGUAUGUUGUAGAAUGUGAUCAAUGGGUCUAUGUACCUAUAAUAAUUAUAUACAACUUUCAGCAACGGAUCUCUUGGCUCUC
Molecule: unclassified non-coding RNA, 336 nt
Filed under: plant metagenome
Description: partial contains small subunit ribosomal RNA, internal transcribed spacer 1, and 5.8S ribosomal RNA
Source: RNAcentral